UGGAAUGACAACCUCUGGGGACCAA
Molecule: non-coding RNA, 25 nt
Filed under: Rattus norvegicus (Norway rat)
Lineage: Eukaryota; Metazoa; Chordata; Mammalia; Rodentia; Muridae
Source: RNAcentral